GAUUCCUUAGUGUAGUGGUUAUCACGUCAGUCUUACACACUGAAGGUCCCGAGUUCAAUCCUCGGAGGAAUCA
Molecule: transfer RNA, 73 nt
Organism: Tetrahymena thermophila SB210
Lineage: Eukaryota; Ciliophora; Oligohymenophorea; Hymenostomatida; Tetrahymenidae
Rfam family: tRNA
About the family: Transfer RNA (tRNA) molecules are approximately 80 nucleotides in length. Their secondary structure includes four short double-helical elements and three loops (D, anti-codon, and T loops).
Source: Rfam